CCAAGAACAUGGUAUUUAAGGACUAGAAGAGCCCAGCAGAUGUGUGCAGGAGGCAGCCCCAGCAGCCUCUUGCCCCUCAUAGAAUCACACAAGGUUGGAAAGGACCGACAAGAUCAUCUAGUCUCAGUUUGUGACCUCCUGGUGCAUGCUGCAGAAUGUAUCUCAGCCAAUUUCCUUCAGGAGCCAAGGAUCCUGUAUUUUUUAUCAUGUAUGGAGGAAAAAGUGACUGAACAGUUAGACUUCUGCAUUUGUCAAAGUCCUUGAUAUACAUUCUGUGUUUGGAAUGAAAAGAGCUGCUCAUCCGCAAAAGAGAGAAAUGAAGCCCAAGCGUUCAAGGAAAAUACACAGAUGACAUUUUGGAGCCCAGCAAAAUCAGUUAAAACGUCUGUGUUGGUGCCAACGGAACAAAAAUUAUGUCAGAAGUGUCUGCGUGGAGACGCCCUUAAUUACAGUUAUUUUAAAGAAGGCACCUCUGCUGUUAAAGUGUCAUCACAAGAAUCAUUAUGAAAUACAGAUUUAAGAAGGCAAUUUAAAAGGUUUUCAUCCAACAAAAAUUAAUCAGUGGAUACUUAUGAUCAGAUUUACUUUUGAAAGCACAGGAUUUUUAUAUUUAUUUUUGUCUCUUCAGUCCCUUGCUUUCGUUGUCUGUACAGUCCUUCUCAUUUAGGCCAAAAUAGAUUACACUGAGGUCUAGACAACGUGUAGUUCCUGAGAGGAUCCUAUUGAAUAACUGGAUGAUGAAAACAUACCCAUACUGGAGAUUUAUGGUUUGUCGUGUUCAUAGCUGGAUUAGAAAUCAGUCUGGCACUUUCCAGCAAUCCCUAGCUGGCUUCUUAUACAGAAAAUAAAAAUAGCAUCUACUGUAUACUUUGAAAGAUUUAGCUUAAACAAUUUUUUUCCCAUAUUUCUUGACAAGAUUCUCAAUUAAGGUAAACAUAUUUCUGUCAGAUUGAUGGAGAGAAUUGUCUUGAUUUCUCCCACUGAGUUUAACACCGGUGGCAUCUUACAGCCAAUUGCAAAUUACGACAUUCACACAGAUGAAGUGAAAAAACAGUUACGAAGCUACAGGUGUCAAUAAACUGUCAUUUUAUAAUCCUAUUUGCAAAAAAUGCAAAAAUUAAAAGACCUGACACUUUACACUGACAUGGUUAACCUGUUCACUUUUUCUUUGAUCUUCCAUCUGCUCUUCAUUUCAGUACCUGCCAGCUGAAGCAAAAAAUUGCUGCCUGAAGAUGAUAUAGCUGACAUCUAUAUUCUAGUAGUUCAAGCAAGCCAUGGUAUCCUGUGCAAUGGAUUACUGAGAAUGAGGUACUUUCAGAUGAUUUGUUUUAAGGUGUCAGAAAUCAGCAGACAGUUGUUGAAAGUCUUCCCCACUAGAACAAGGAUCUCUAAUCUUUUUACUCUAGCUGACACACAGAAGGAAAAAGCUCCAGGAGAUGGAAAGGUUCCCACCCAGAAGGCAAAAGGUAUACAGAGUGCUUGGGUGAAAACUGGCUCAGAAGCUGCAGUCACCAACUCCCUGCUCAAGUGCUGCUGUUAUCCAUCCAUGGUCUGGAUAACUUUUUGGACAGCAGUUUUGUUGGCAC
Gallus gallus (chicken) is the source of this 1586-nucleotide long non-coding RNA. The record is from Ensembl. Lineage: Eukaryota; Metazoa; Chordata; Aves; Galliformes; Phasianidae.